UUUUAUUAUUACGAAAGAGUACUUAAUUCAUAUUUUAAAUAACAAUAAAAAUUCGCGGAUUUCAAUUAAUCGAAUAUUUAAAAGAACACCGAUUCGAUAUCAUUCGAUAGCCAAUCAAAGUCACGCAGAUCUUCACUGAACCAAUCAACGUCAAUCAAUAACAUCGCGCGCUUUUUUCCGAGGCGUCAUAAAUCAAUCGGUCAUCGACGCUUAUGUGAUGUGCUUUUCUAAAAAUACGAGUUAAAUAAAAAAAAUUAGACGAUCAUAAAUAAAACGCAUCCAGGGAACGCGUCCGUCUUCUCAACCCCGUGGCGCGUAACUGAGUUUCUUCGUGAUACAGGAACGGUAGUGGUGGAGGUGGAAUAGACGCGGUUAUAGGUUAUGGCGGUAGUGGUAGACCAGAAAAGAAAAUUGGCAAUUUUAUGUUAAUGUUUCUGUGUUUCAUUUAAAUUGAUUUCAUAUUGAAAUAAAUUCUUUGAAAAUGAAGCAUUUCUUCGUGAGCAUCUUACGAGAUUUAAUUGGAUAAGCGUGCUACGAGUGAGAAUUCAAUGAUUUGUCUAUAUGUAUAAGUGAUAAAAGUCGACGCAUAUGAAAUAUACUAUAUAGAUGAAAAUUCUAAAAAAUAAUCAAUGUAAUUAACUAUACGCAUGC
Long non-coding RNA from Apis dorsata (giant honeybee), 651 nucleotides. RefSeq lists it as uncharacterized. Lineage: Eukaryota; Metazoa; Arthropoda; Insecta; Hymenoptera; Apidae. The transcript has 3 exons. The record is from RefSeq and is a predicted model, not a curated record.